RNAcentral lists this ribosomal RNA (483 nucleotides) under uncultured bacterium. Its description in RNAcentral is "bacterial SSU rRNA". It matches the Rfam family "Bacterial small subunit ribosomal RNA", at positions 30 to 507 of the family's 1533-position model. The record is from RNAcentral.
AUUGAACGCUGGCGGCAUGCCUUACACAUGGCAAGUCGAACGGCAGCACGGGAGCAAUCCUGGUGGCGAGUGGCGAACGGGUGAGUAAUAUAUCGGAACGUGCCCAGUCGUGGGGGAUAACGUAGCGAAAGCUACGCUAAUACCGCAUACGAUCUACGGAUGAAAGCGGGGGAUCGCAAGACCUCGCGCGAUUGGAGCGGCCGAUAUCAGAUUAGGUAGUUGGUGAGGUAAAGGCUCACCAAGCCGACGAUCUGUAGCUGGUCUGAGAGGACGACCAGCCACACUGGGACUGAGACACGGCCCAGACUCCUACGGGAGGCAGCAGUGGGAAUUUUGGACAAUGGGCGCAAGCCUGAUCCAGCAAUGCCGCGUGCAGGAUGAAGGCCUUCGGGUUGUAAACUGCUUUGUACGGAACGAAACGGUGAGCUCUAAUACAGUUUGCUAAUGACGGUACCGUAAGAAUAAGCACCGGCUAACUACGUG